UGAGGAAUCUUGCGCAAUGGGCGAAAGCCUGACGCAGCGACGCCGCGUGGAGGAUGAAGGUCUUCGGAUUGUAAACUCCUGUCGAGUGGGACGAAUGCCGAGAGGGUGAAUACCCCUUUCGGUUGACGGUACCGCUGGAAAAAGCCACGGCUAACUUCGUGCCAGCAGCCGCGGUAAUACGAAGGUGGCGAGCGUUGUUCGGAUUUACUGGGCGUAAAGAGCACGUAGGCGGUUGGGUAAGCCCUCUGUGAAAUCUUCAGGCUUAACCUGGAAAAGUCGGGGGGGACUGCCGGGCUAGAGGACGGGAGAGGAGCGCGGAAUUCCCGGUGUAGCGGUGAAAUGCGUAGAGAUCGGGAGGAAGGCCGGUGGCGAAGGCGGCGCUCUGGAACGUUUCUGACGCUGAGGCUCGAAAGCGUGGGGAGCAAACAGGAUUAGAUACCCUGGUAGUCCACGCCUUAAACUAUGAAUACUAAGUGUCGGCGGGUUACCGCCGGUGCCGCAGCUAACGCAUUAAGUAUUCCGCCUGGGAAGUACGGCCGCAAGGUUG
Molecule: ribosomal RNA, 547 nt
Filed under: uncultured bacterium
Lineage: Bacteria
Description: bacterial SSU rRNA
Rfam family: Bacterial small subunit ribosomal RNA
Source: RNAcentral